RNAcentral lists this non-coding RNA (896 nucleotides) under Calorodius thorntonensis. Lineage: Eukaryota; Metazoa; Chordata; Lepidosauria; Squamata; Scincidae. The record is from RNAcentral.
UCCAAACAUAAAGUUUUGGUCCUAAACUUGCCAUUGUUUUUUACCAAAAUUAUACAUGCAAGCCUCCACACACCAGUGAGAAUGCCCACACACCCCUAAACAGCAAAUCGGAGCAGGCAUCAGGAUACAACAUUUUUAGCCGAAAACGCCUUGCACAUGCCACACCCACACGGGCCCUCAGCAGUAAUUAACAUUAAAACAUGAGCGAAAGCUCGACUUAGUUAUGGUUAAUAUGGUCGGUAAAUUUCGUGCCAGCCACCGCGGUUAUACGAAAGACCAAAAACAAUGACCCUCGGCGUAAAGCGUGACUAGAGCACAAUAAACUAUUAAAGGGGCACAACUGCCAAGUUGUAAAACACUACUGCAAGUUAGAACAACAAUAAGACACCUUUAAAAUCCCCUACCUCACGAAAGCUAAGAAACAAACUGGGAUUAGAUACCCCACUAUGCUUAGCCCUAAACACAGAUAGUAUAACACAACACUAUUCGCCAGAGAACUACAAGCGAAAAGCUAGAAACUCCAAGGACUUGGCGGUGCUUCAAAUCAACCUAGAGGAGCCUGUCCUAUAAUCGAUACCCCACGUUAAACCCUACCCCUUUUAGCCCCCAGCCUAUAUACCGCCGUCGUCAGCCUACCUUAUGAAAGAAAUAAAGUGAGCAAAAAAGUUAACAACUAGCACGUCAGGUCAAGGUGUAGCACAUGAAGCGGCAGAGAUGGGCUACAUUUUUUCAAAGUAAAAAAACGAAUGAUAAACUGAAACACAAACCUGAAGGCGGAUUUAGUAGUAAGAUAAACAAGAAUAUUUAUCUUAAAACUGCUCUGAAGCGCGCACACACCGCCCGUCACCCUCAUCACAUGUAAUUUCACAUAAAAUAUAACACCAAAACACCCCACA